RNAcentral lists this unclassified non-coding RNA (353 nucleotides) under soil metagenome. Its description in RNAcentral is "partial contains 5.8S ribosomal RNA, internal transcribed spacer 2, and large subunit ribosomal RNA". The stretch from base 1 to 120 matches the Rfam family "5.8S ribosomal RNA", at positions 35 to 154 of the family's 154-position model. The record is from RNAcentral.
GAUGAAGAACGCAGCGAAAUGCGAUAAGUAGUGUGAAUUGCAGAAUUCAGUGAAUCAUCGAAUCUUUGAACGCACAUUGCGCCUCCUGGUAUUCCGGGAGGCAUGCCUGUUCGAGCGUCAUUAAAAUCACUCAAGCUUAGGUUUGCCAAUUGCUUGGUCUUGAAGAUGGAAGCUAAGUAAUUAGAAUCCUCUUCGAAAUCCAAUGGCGAAGACCCUUGCUCUCCCAAGUGUAGUAAUAACUUAUUCACUGAAGGAAGCGAGUAAUCUUCCGCCGUAACCCCCAUAUUUUCUAUGAUUGACCUCGGAUCAGGUAGGGAUACCCGCUGAACUUAAGCAUAUCAAUAAGCGGAGGA